UACGUAGGGUGCAAGCGUUGUCCGGAAUUAUUGGGCGUAAAGAGCUCGUAGGCGGUUUGUCGCGUCUGCUGUGAAAACUCGGGGCUUAACCCCGGGCCUGCAGUGGGUACGGGCAGACUAGAGUGCGGGAGAGGGAUGCAGAAUUCCAGGUGUAGCGGUGAAAUGCGUAGAUAUCUGGAGGAAUACCGGUGGCGAAGGCGGCAUCCUGGACCGAGAUUGACGCUGAUGAGCGAAAGCUAGGGGAGCAAACGGG
RNAcentral lists this ribosomal RNA (253 nucleotides) under uncultured bacterium. Its description in RNAcentral is "partial 16S ribosomal RNA". It matches the Rfam family "Bacterial small subunit ribosomal RNA", at positions 524 to 776 of the family's 1533-position model. The record is from RNAcentral.